RNAcentral lists this ribosomal RNA (496 nucleotides) under uncultured bacterium. RNAcentral describes it as "partial 16S ribosomal RNA". It matches the Rfam family "Bacterial small subunit ribosomal RNA", at positions 28 to 507 of the family's 1533-position model. The record is from RNAcentral.
GAUGAACGCUGGCGGCGUGCCUAAUACAUGCAAGUCGAGCGAACAGAUGAGGAGCUUGCUCCUCUGACGUUAGCGGCGGACGGGUGAGUAACACGUGGAUAACCUACCUAUAAGACUGGGAUAACUUCGGGAAACCGGAGCUAAACCGGAUAAUAUAUUGAACCGCAUGGUUCAAUAGUGAAAGACGGUUUUGUUGUCACGUAUAGAUGGAUCCGCGCCGCAUUAGCUAGUUGGUAAGGUAACGGCCUACCAAGGCAACGAUGCGUAGCCGACCUGAGAGGGUGAUCGGCCACACUGGAACUGAGACACGGUCCAGGCUCCUACGGGAGGCAGCAGUAGGGAAUCUUCCGCAAUGGGCGAAAACCUGACGGAGCAACGCCGCGUGAGUGAUGAAGGUCUUCGGAUCGUAAAACUCUGUUAUUGGGGAAGAACAAAUGUGUAAGUAACUAUGCACGUCUUGACGGUACCUAAUCAGAAAGCCACGGCUAACUACGUG